UUGAACGCCGGCGGCAUGCCUUACACAUGCAAGUCGAACGGUAACGCGGGGCAACCUGGCGACGAGUGGCGAACGGGUGAGUAAUGCAUCGGAACGUGCCCAGUAGUGGGGGAUAGCCCGGCGAAAGCCGGAUUAAUACCGCAUACGACCUACGGGUGAAAGCGGGGGACCGCAAGGCCUCGCGCUAUUGGAGCGGCCGAUGUCGGAUUAGCUAGUUGGUGGGGUAAAGGCCUACCAAGGCGACGAUCCGUAGCUG
This 256-nucleotide ribosomal RNA is filed under the name uncultured bacterium. RNAcentral describes it as "partial 16S ribosomal RNA". It matches the Rfam family "Bacterial small subunit ribosomal RNA", at positions 30 to 289 of the family's 1533-position model. The record is from RNAcentral.